This 312-nucleotide unclassified non-coding RNA is filed under the name Hevea brasiliensis (rubber tree). The record is from RNAcentral. Lineage: Eukaryota; Viridiplantae; Streptophyta; Magnoliopsida; Malpighiales; Euphorbiaceae.
AAAAUCUUGCAUGAGGUAUCUGAGAUUUUGGCCAAGUCUUACUUUUAGCCAGUAGGCUUAUAUUUCUUUCUAGUCUAGUCCCCAACGUUGUAUUCAUGCAACUGGAUCCUUGAAUUUCAAAUUUACUUCAAUUUUGUCUUAAACUUCAAAACUAAUUCCAUGACAAAAACAAAACUUUGAUUCUUUUGAUGGAAUGUGAUUUAUCCUGAGGUAUUAUAACAAGAUAUUCAUUAGUAGUUCUCUUUUAUUGAUUAGGUCUGGUUUUCAAUGUAGGUCUAUGGGUGGCUUGGCUUCAACUUGAGAUCAAAAUAA